GUGGCAGAUUUAAAUGGAUAAGAAGGAGGGGAAUAUGCCCCUCUCUUUGAGCUAUGCGUGGGAGAAAAAGGGAGGGCGCACGCCCCUCCUAGGUGGCAAGAAAUAGAGAUAAGGAUGAGCUCCUAAAAAAAUAGGAGCUCAUCUUUAUCCCUUUGCAUUUCAAAAGGAAGAGGUGAUUUCGGCCAGCAUUUUUUAUGUUUUUCUUGGGCAUUUCGGCAACACCUCUCUUCCCUUCAUUCCUCCUUCCAGC
Molecule: long non-coding RNA, 250 nt
Filed under: Phoenix dactylifera (date palm)
Lineage: Eukaryota; Viridiplantae; Streptophyta; Magnoliopsida; Arecales; Arecaceae
Description: long non-coding RNA (PDAC_LNC018169)
Source: RNAcentral